CCCCGGGGCGGCACGGGCGGCGACCAGGCGAGCGCCAUCGCCAACCACUUUUCCUCCUCCCACCACCUCGCCGCCGCCCGAGCGGCCACCCGACAAAGCCGGGUUGGCAUAAGGACGGCGGUGGCGGGGCUCCUUGCCUUCUCUCGUGAGCGCGGUGGCUCGGGGCGCUGCCAAGACAGAGGGAGGACUCCAAGUGGUGGUCUUCAGCGGCCAGCUCCGACGUCGGUGGGGACAGAUCCGGCCCCCACAUGGCCGGAUCUGCCGACAGUGCGUACGGAGGAGGCCGGCGGCGCGUCGGCGGAGGUCGAUGGCGCGAUAGGAAGGCCGCCGGCGCCCGGGGAGGCGGUCGCUGGUGAUGGCAUGCAAGAAGGAGGCCGUCCACGCGCGGGAGAAGGUCGAUGGCACAACGGGAAGGCUCGCAGCGCAUGGGGAGGCGGUUGCCGGUAUUGUGGCGGCGACCAGGCGAGCGUGCCGCCGCCAACUUCUCCCCUCCACCUCGCCGAAGCUCGACCUCCUCUCUCGGGCACGGUGGCCUGGGAGGAGGCGCGGCGCCCAACGAGGAGCGUGGAAGAGGCGGUGGAUGUGGCGACGUGCGAGGUGGACGGCAACGACGGGGGCACGAUGCUGUCCCACACGGCGACUUGUGGGACUGCCCUCCCACGCGACGACGGCAGCGGAGCGGGGCGAGCCUGCUUGAGCUGUGUAUGGUGGGCUAGGCUUGGCGGCUACAGAGACGAUGUGGUUGUCCGGGAACAUGAAGUCGAAGUUGCUUCGUUGGGUGCGAUGAAGCUUGGCAACGAUAACACAUUGCAGUUUUCGAGGGGUGCUGGUGUCUCAUUUCUACGGUGCCUUUGGCAACGAUGA
Molecule: long non-coding RNA, 864 nt
Filed under: Oryza sativa Indica Group (long-grained rice)
Lineage: Eukaryota; Viridiplantae; Streptophyta; Magnoliopsida; Poales; Poaceae
Description: lncRNA OsZS97_05G015730
Source: RNAcentral